CAGCAGCCGCGGGAAUGCGGAGGGUGCAAGCGUUAAUCGGAAUUACUGGGCGUAAAGCGCACGCAGGCGGUUUGUUAAGUCAGAUGUGAAAUCCCCGGGCUCAACCUGGGACCUGCAUUUGUGACUGUAUAGCUAGAGUACGGUAGAGGGGGAUGGAAUUCCGCGUGUAGCAGUGAAAUGCGUAGAUAUGCGGAGGAACACCGAUGGCGAAGGCGGCCAUCUGGGACAACACUGACGCUGAGGCACGAAAGCGUGGGGAGCAAACAGGAUUAGAUACCCGGGUAGUCCCUGUCUCUUAUAA
This 301-nucleotide ribosomal RNA is filed under the name uncultured bacterium. RNAcentral describes it as "partial 16S ribosomal RNA". It matches the Rfam family "Bacterial small subunit ribosomal RNA", at positions 509 to 809 of the family's 1533-position model. The record is from RNAcentral.